Molecule: microRNA precursor, 95 nt
Filed under: Stenotrophomonas sp. CC22-02
Lineage: Bacteria; Pseudomonadati; Pseudomonadota; Gammaproteobacteria; Lysobacterales; Lysobacteraceae
Description: microRNA mir-598
Source: RNAcentral
AGAUCCAGCUGUAAUCAAAAAAGGGGACGGAGGGGAUUAAGUCGUUUGUGGCACAAACGACUUAAUCCCCUCCGUCCCCUUUUUUGUUCAACGAU